GGGGUUGACUGGAUUUGACAGCGGGCAGAAAUGGUAGGUAAGCAUGCAGUGCGUCGGUAAUUUGCACUUAAAUAUCAGUUAUCAAAAUUUUAUCUGGCGAAAAUAAUUACGCUCUUGCUGCUUAAUCGAAUUAUAGUAGAUUAGCUUAAUCUGGGUACUAGGUAUCCGGACGAGACAUCACUCAGAAGCUGUGGCUUCGAAGUAUUCUGGUUCAGUGGUGCAGUCAUAUCGGAGAUAGCUUUAAGUGGCUUCGCAUUUAAAGUGAAAAUAAAGAAGAUAAGGUUUGUGUUGAUGGCUUUGGUUCUGCACAGACACGAAAAUUUAGGCAAAGAUAAGCAUGUAGAAAGCUUAUGAUUUCCUCGUUUGGACGAGGGUUCGAUUCCCUCCAGCUCCACUU
Molecule: non-coding RNA, 397 nt
Organism: Bacteroides graminisolvens
Lineage: Bacteria; Pseudomonadati; Bacteroidota; Bacteroidia; Bacteroidales; Bacteroidaceae
Rfam family: transfer-messenger RNA
About the family: Bacterial tmRNA, also known as 10Sa RNA or SsrA, is named for its dual tRNA and mRNA-like properties. Its role is to liberate the mRNA from a stalled ribosome.
Source: Rfam